Long non-coding RNA from Esox lucius (northern pike), 554 nucleotides. The record is from Ensembl. NCBI's taxonomy places the organism in Eukaryota, Metazoa, Chordata, Actinopteri, Esociformes, Esocidae.
CAGAAGUCAGCUGUAACAAACUAAUAGCGUUGGUUGCCAACUGCCGUUAAACCCCACAGAAGAAGAAGUCAGCUGUUGUUUUCCAGCGCGGAGUAUGCCGUUUAUAUUGUUGAGCGGAAUUAAACCCAGCUGUGUUUGGUAAACUUUUUGGGCCUUCAAAUCUUGGGCGUCAUCUGAAUCGUAUAAAGGGGAUCACUGCCCACCUUUUUCCCCAGAGCUGCAAGAAAGGUAGCUGAUGAAACAGACACCAUCGAAGAGGAAAACCUUCUUAUCCUACAUAGCCUGGCUGCAGCUGACUGGUGCAAUAAGGCAACAUUCAAUGGAGGACUGAAACUCUGCUGUCCUUUCGAUGGACAGAGAAGAAAAAAAAGAAGCCAUCCAGGAGAUGGACACCUGGGAUGGGGAACUGGAUGAGGAUUCUCCAGCAGAACUUUUUACAUAAAAAAAAAAAAAAAAGGACUAUGACAACUUCUGGGAAGAAUUUGUUGAUAAAAACAAUUACAUAAAUCUUCCUCAAAUCUUCCUCAUAAAUCUUCCUCAAAUCUUCCUCAAGA